Molecule: ribosomal RNA, 1506 nt
Filed under: Triticum aestivum (bread wheat)
Lineage: Eukaryota; Viridiplantae; Streptophyta; Magnoliopsida; Poales; Poaceae
Description: partial small subunit ribosomal RNA
Source: RNAcentral
AUGGCCGCGUCCUCGCUGCUCCGCUCGCUCUCCCGCGUCUCGCGCCGCGGCUGCGCGCCCGCGUUCUACGGCCGCGGCCCGCUCUCGCCGCUCUCCACCGCCGCGGCGGCUGCGGCGGCCGACGCGAGGGAUGCUGCUGUGUUACCGAGGGGGCUCGCGGGGCUGGGGCCGACGGCCAAGGGGGAGAAGGCGCGGGUGGUGGUGCUCGGAACGGGGUGGGCGGGGUCGCGCCUCAUGAAGGACCUCGACACCACCGGCUACGACGUCGUCUGCGUCUCCCCGCGCAACCACAUGGUGUUCACGCCGCUGCUCGCCUCCACCUGCGUCGGCACGCUCGAGUUCCGCUCCGUCGCCGAGCCGCUCGCGCGCAUCCAGCCCGCCGUCUCCAGCUCCCCGGGCUCCUACUUCCUCCUCGCCCGCUGCACCGCCGUCGACCCCGACGCCCACACGAUUGAGUGUGAGACAGUUACUGAAGGUGAGAAAGACACCUUGAAGCCGUGGAAAUUCAAGGUUUCGUAUGACAAGUUGGUCUUUGGAUGUGGAGCUGAGGCAUCGACUUUCGGUAUACGUGGUGUUACUGAACAUGCAACCUUUCUUCGGGAAGUUCAUGACGCUCAAGAGAUCCGCAGGAAGCUCCUUCUGAAUCUGAUGCUGUCUGAUGUACCUGGCAUAUCAGAGGGCGAAAAGCGCAGGCUAUUGCACUGUGUUGUUGUUGGAGGUGGUCCAACAGGGGUUGAAUUUAGCGGGGAACUUAGUGAUUUCAUCACCAGAGAUGUGAAAGAACGUUACUCACAUGUGAAAGAUUAUGUCCAUGUGACCCUGAUUGAGGCAAAUGAGAUAUUGUCAUCAUUCGAUGUUCGCCUCAGGCAGUAUGCUGUAAACCAACUAGUUAAGUCAGGUGUUAGGCUUGUACGAGGAAUCGUGAAGGAUGUACAACCCGACAAAUUAAUCCUGGACAAUGGAGAGGAGGUUCCUUAUGGUUUGCUGGUAUGGUCUACUGGGGUUGGUGCUUCAUCAUUCGUCAAGUCAUUGCCAUUUCCCAAGUCACACGGAGGAAGGAUCGGUGUAGAUGAGUGGUUACGUGUUCCUUCUGUCCCAGAUGUAUUUGCUAUUGGUGAUUGCUGUGGAUUCCUUGAAAGCACCGGCAAGGAAGUUCUCCCAGCCUUAGCUCAGGUUGCCGAGCGGCAAGGCUUGUACCUCGCUCGCCUGCUCAACCGUGUGAUGAAAGCUGGAGGAGGGCACGCAAAUUCCCAGGUCGAAGUCGAUCUAGGUCCAAAGUUUGUGUAUAAGCAUCUAGGGAGUAUGGCAACCGUUGGAAGGUACAAAGCUCUGGUGGACCUGAGGCAAAGCAAGGACUCGAAGGGCAUAUCCAUUGCAGGAUUUGCAAGCUGGUUCAUCUGGCGCUCAGCGUACCUGACUCGUGUUGUCAGCUGGAGAAAUAGGCUCUAUGUGGCUAUCAAUUGGCUGACCACGAUGAUAUUCGGCCGUGACAUAAGCCGUAUCUAG